Molecule: ribosomal RNA, 492 nt
Filed under: uncultured bacterium
Lineage: Bacteria
Description: partial 16S ribosomal RNA
Rfam family: Bacterial small subunit ribosomal RNA
Source: RNAcentral
AUUGAACGCUGGCGGCAUGCUUUACACAUGCAAGUCGAACGGUAACAGGCCUUCGGGUGCUGACGAGUGGCGAACGGGUGAGUAAUGCAUCGGAACGUACCCAGAGGUGGGGGAUAACGCAGCGAAAGCUGUGCUAAUACCGCAUGUGAUCUGAGGAUGAAAGCGGGGGACCGAGCAGCAAUGUUUGGCCUCGCGCCUUUGGAGCGGCCGAUGUCGGAUUAGCUAGUUGGGGGGGUAAAGGCCUACCAAGGCGACGAUCCGUAGCUGGUCUGAGAGGACGGCCAGCCACACUGGGACUGAGACACGGCCAAGAGUCCUACGGGAGGCAGCAGUGGGGAAUUUUGGACAAUGGGCGCAAGCCUGAUCCAGCAAUGCCGCGUGCGGGAAGAAGGCCUUCGGGUUGUAAAGCGCUUUUGGCAGGAACGAAACGGUGUCCGCUAAUACCGGGCGCUAAUGACGGUACCUGCAGAAUAAGCACCGGCUAACUACGUG